AUACGGGGGAUCCGAGCGUUAUCCGGAUUUAUUGGGUUUAAAGGGAGCGUAGGUGGACAGUUAAGUCAGUUGUGAAAGUUUGCGGCUCGACCGUAAAAUUGCAGUUGAUACUGGCUGUCUUGAGUACAGUAGAGGUGGGCGGAAUUCGUGGUGUAGCGGUGAAAUGCUUAGAUAUCACGAAGAACUCCGAUUGCGAAGGCAGCUCACUGGACUGCAACUGACACUGAUGCUCGAAAGUGUGGGUAUCAAACAGGAUUAGAUACCCUGGUAGUCCACACAGUAAACGAUGAAUACUCGCUGUUUGCGAUAUACAGUAAGCGGCCAAGCGAAAGCAUUAAGUAUUCCACCUGGGGAGUACGCCGGCAACGGUGAAACUCAAAUGAAUUGACGGGG
Molecule: ribosomal RNA, 393 nt
Filed under: uncultured bacterium
Lineage: Bacteria
Description: partial 16S ribosomal RNA
Rfam family: Bacterial small subunit ribosomal RNA
Source: RNAcentral